UACGAAGGGGGCUAGCGUUGUUCGGAAUCACUGGGCGUAAAGCGCACGUAGGCGGAUGUGCCAGUCAGGGGUGAAAUCCCGGAGCUCAACUUCGGAACUGCCUCUGAUACAGCACGUCUUGAGUCCGGAAGAGGUGGGUGGAAUUCCUAGUGUAGAGGUGAAAUUCGUAGAUAUUGGGAAGAACACCGAUGGCGAAGGCCGCCAUCUGGACCGACACUGACGCUGAGGCGCGAAAGCGUGGGGAGCAAACAGG
Molecule: ribosomal RNA, 253 nt
Filed under: uncultured bacterium
Lineage: Bacteria
Description: partial 16S ribosomal RNA
Rfam family: Bacterial small subunit ribosomal RNA
Source: RNAcentral